This 5207-nucleotide long non-coding RNA is filed under the name Olea europaea subsp. europaea. Lineage: Eukaryota; Viridiplantae; Streptophyta; Magnoliopsida; Lamiales; Oleaceae. The record is from RNAcentral.
GUUUUUCGAAGAUUUUGAUUAAUUCUAGUGUUACAUUCUUAAUAUUCAGAAAUUAAGAAAGAUUGUAAAUUUUCUGCUCUUCAUACCAUUACUGUUGAGAAUAAAGAUUAUGUCUCAGCUCAUUUGGGAAAAUUUCCUAUUUUUGAUAUGGUUAAUAAAUCACUGAAUAGAAUGUGAUAAUUAGCUAAAUAAAGAAGUGAAUUUUGUGGUUUGGUAAUUGGUUUCUAAUUGUGCAGUUUCAACACUGGGUGAAUCGAACUGAUGCCGUGGAUCUCACAGAAUGUUCAGAUGUCUCGAGGAAUAAAGGUCGAUUUCUUGAUUACUUUAACUGGAAAUUCAGUUUCAUUAUACUCUAAUUUACUUCUUUGCAUUUCUUGCUCCAAUAAUGCUUCAAGUAAAGGAAAAAUUUAACAAAAUGUGUAAUGUGGCAAAAUGUGAUUGGACUGUUUUUAUUCUUUUUCUCACCUUUCAAUGAUGUCGCGCCACGUAUUGUUUAUAAGGAUUUUCUGUCAAAAAGUUUUGUAAUUAUAGCAUGAUUCUUCUUGCUUUCCAAAUAGGUGAACAAAGUCUUAAGGACCAGAAAAUAUUUUCUCCAAAUUAGCCAAGUGUCAACCUACCUUAACAUUUUUGAAACAAUAAUGAGUCGAGUCAAAUGUAUGAAACAUAUAGGUUAAUGGAGAACAUAUAAAUUAUCUUUUGUUCAGCCUUAGCUAAUAAUGACACAUUUUUUAAUAGCAGAUUAAUCAAGUGGGCAUCAAUUGUUUGUAAUGACAUUUCUUAACGUGGUACCCUCCAAACAAUAGGCAACAAGAGAUAAAGGUACACAGAAUACAACACAUGAACAAUAUGGCAAAAUUGAUGGAAUUGAUAGUAUUUUCGUUCCAUUCUGGUAAAAAUUUUGUGUUAUUAUUUGAUUCUAUUGCAGUCAAUAAACUUCCAUGAAUAGGCAAGAAAAUCAUGGAAAUAUGAUUCUAGUGCUCUCAUAUUCUGGGUCGUUUCUUUAUGUAUUGAAUAACAUAAUUUAGUAUAGUCAAGUAGGAUUCCAAAGAGUUCGACUAAGACUUGUCCUUCACUCAAAUUUUAAUGGAUUUUAAAAGUUAAUUAAAAUUUAGAUGUCUUCAACUCAUAUUUCAGUUGAUUUUGGCUAAAUUUCCAUGCAUUCAACUCAGAUUUUAGUAGAUUUCAUAAAAAAAUAGGAAUUUUCAAUAACUCAUCGGUGCUUAGCUUAUGUUAAGCACCGAUGAUAUGACACACCAUUCGAUUGGUGAAUAAGUUAAAUUAAUCUUUUUAUUAUGCUUUUAAAACUCUGUUCUCCAAUUAAACUUGUCAUUAAUUAUAAAAUAUUUUGUGCAUAAUCCUUGACACUGUCAUGAAAAAAUGAUUUUUAUAUUUUGGUUGAAAUGAUUUUCAAUAUGUAUAAUCUGUACCGUAGAAUUCUAUUAAAAUUACAUGAAAUUAAUUAAAAUUUAUUAUGAAAUUUUGUUAAAGAUUUUAUAAUUUUAUAGAAAUUAUGUGAAUUCAGUUGAAAUUCAUGAAAUCUAUAAGAAUUCAUAAAUCUUAAGAAAUUCGUUAGGAAUCGAGGGAGUGUAUAAGUAUAUAACCACUUAAUCAAGCAUAUCUUAAGAAAUGCGUUAAAAUUUGACAACGGGUGAAUUAUGGAAGAGAAACAUUCCAAAAUUACACCUACCUCUGAUUUUUAAUGAUUUUUAACUUAACAUUUCAAAAAUCAAAUUUUAACUUUAUCUUUCGAAAAUCAGGUGCAUGUACUCCUACCCCACUUGAUGCUGAUCAAUUAGAAGAGAAAAUUCUAAACCAAUUAAAAAAGAGAAUAAAUAAGAAGGAUUUAAGAAAAUGUGUUCACUCGGUGUCAAAUUUUCGUCUAUGAAUUCAAUUUGAUUUUGCACGAUUUUGAUUUUGUCUGAGUUCAAUAAGAAGCAUUUUUUGAUUUUGCACAAUUUUGUUGGGGUGAAAAUAAUUGCCUUUGGCUAACAUUGUCAAACUUUUCGGGUCAAAUUUCAUCAUUUAAGAGUAUUUUCAUGUUUUACAUUUUUUUUAGUUUAUUUUGAUUUUCUACAAAAUUGGGAUCUCAAUAUGAUUUUGAUUUAUUUUGACUCUGUAAAUAUGUUUUAAAAGGCUAUAAAAACAUUUACAUUCAUUUUUCUUGAUUAAUAAGAUAUUUCAAUUAUUUCUCGUUAAUUGGUUGAUUUCAAUAUUUCUCUUGUCCAUUUGAACAAAAUUCGAUUAAACAUCUAUUCGUGUGUUGCGAAAAAUGAAUCUUUCAUUAUUAUUUACGUUUCUAUCCCGCAUCACCACCUAUUCUUUUACCCAUUUUCCCAAUUAAUAAUACACACUCACUCCACCAUAAUUGACUACAACCACCAGCACCUGCAGAGACGGAUAUAGGGGGACUGGGCUAGGCUGUAGUCUCCAAAGCCCAAGAAACUUAUUUUUUUAUGGGAAAAAUUCAUAAUCUAGAAGAUAAAUAUAGGACAUUUCUAAUCUAAGAUGACAUGUUUGAAGUUUCAUAAAUCAGAAAUUAGAUUGGUGGAGAGACAAAAUCUUGGGGGGAGUAGAGAGAAGGAGAUUUGAUAGGAAUUAAAUACAGGUGGGGGAGAGGAUGGGAGGAGAGGGAAGGAAAUUGGAGAGAGAAUAAAUAAUAUUUAAUAUUUAAACAAGUAAGAUUUAAUUUUAGAAAUGUGAAAUUCCUAGACUCUAUUAUAACCAAUUCACUUAUCAAAAUUACAAUUGACAGCUCAGAUGAGGAAUAAAGGACACAAAUUUGAACAAACUCCUACAAUUCAUCUCUCAGAUGAUGUAUUAAAGCCACAGAUUAUUUAAUAUUAAGGUCAAAAUUAUAUAUAAUUUAGUCACAGAUUCACGAUUUAAUUACUCACAUAUUAUUUUUCGAUCACAAAUCAAAUUUUUUUAUUCAUCACAAAUUAUUUUACGGUCACAAUUCAAAAAUUCAUUAGGCCACAGUUUGUUCAUUGAUCACGAAUCAGAAAAUUUUAUACGUUACAAAUUAUUUAUUGAUCACAGAUUACAAAUAUUAUAAGUCAGUUUAUUAAACAACCAUACGUUACAAAUUAUUUAUUGAUCACAGAUUACAAAUAUUAUAAGUCACAGUUUAUUAAACAACCAUAAAUUGCCACGAAUCAGAAAAUUUUAUACGUCACAAAUUAUUUAUUGGUCAUAGAUUACAAAUAUUAUAAAUCACAGUUUAUUAAACAGCCACAAAUUAACAAUUUUUUUAGGUCACAUAUUUUUUUAUUUUUUAUUUAACAAUUCCUCUUUUUUCAGUGGUCACAUGUUUAUCGGUCACAGAUAAAAUGAUCUUGUGACGCAACCAACACUUAUGAUCACCACCCCCACCACUGCUACCGUCGCAUUGACGUCACAACUGCCACCUCCAAAACAACCACUACCAUGUCUUGGUAGCCCUGUCACCACCAACACAAAACCACUUAAAAAAUUACCACAAAACAACCCAAAUCCAUCCCAAAAAAGAGACGCCACAAACCACGAAUCCAUCCUUGUCCGUCGCUCACAACACCAAAUCUCGUCGUGGGCGACGAAAGCAAGUACCUGUCGAUGGGGGUGAAGCUAGAAGAUAAGAAUCAUGGGGGCAAAAUGUAAAAAAUAUUAAGGACUUUUUUUAAAAAAAUAAAUAAAUUAUAAUUUGGUUCAAAACAACAAAUUUUGUAAAAAAACCAUGGGGGUAGUGGGGUUGUAAAUCCGUUCUUGCCUGCCGAUGAAAAGAACGAAGAAGAAGGAAGAUGACUGUGGCCACUGCUCUUCACAUCGCGAUAGUGGUGGUGCGGGCUGCGUGGCGAGGAUUACUGCGAUGCUGUUCAACACAAUGUGAGACUAAGCGGUAGCUGCACAACGCAGUGGAUAUCGUCUGAAUCGAAACAGGUUUCUUAGGCUACUAAAAGAGAGAGAAGAUGGGUGGAGAGAGAAUACGAGUGGAAGGAUAGAAGAAAGAUUGGAGAGAGAGAAAUUAGAUAAAGGCACAGGUGGGUGGGUGGUUGGGGGAAAGAGAGAGAGAAUAGGGUGGGAGGAGAGAGAAGGAGAUUGGAGAGAUAUAAAAAUUAGAUAGAGGUAAAUACGGGUAGGAGAGAAAGAAUAUGGUGGGAGGAGAAAGAAGGAUAUUGGAGAGAGAAAGAGAUUGGAGAGAUAAUAUUUAAUAUUUAAAAUGUGAAAUAUUUAACUUUUGAAAUGUAGAAUUAGUCAUCUGAUUUUAGAACCUUAGAUUAUAACUCUAGGGAUUUGUGUAAUUUCCACUUUUUUUAAUGCAUUUUUCUUUUUCUUUUUCUUUUUUCAUCUCUUUUCUUUUUUUUAAAAAAAAUAGUUUUUGUGUGUAAUUUUUUUACCCCAUAUUAGUUCGGCUUGAAAUUUUGUAGCCCGUUCUUGGAUUCAAUCCUAAAUCCGUCCCUAACUGCCUGCCACCACCUCUUCCACCAUUGUCACUUGCUACAACCAAACCCACAUGCCACCAAUUUAAUUUUGCCUAUAAACAAAUCUCUUCUUUUUAGAAAUCACCUCCAUCGGCGCCCAUUGCUGCCAUCAUUUCCACGAUUCGUGAACUCGGUGAAUUGCACCAUAGACGCGAACACGACUCCAAAGACCUGAUCUAACGACCAAGAAGAUUCGAGAUCGAGAUCCAAAUCCAUCAUAAAUGUCGCUGCAUAAUGCGAAGAAUCUACUUUGGACAUGUACCUAGUGUCACUAUGCAAAGAAGAUGUGAAUGAAGCUAUGAAAUCAAGUGCACUGCUACAUCUCUGGUUGUGCAUGUAUAUGUAUACGUGAUGCAGGGAGUGGUGGUGGAAAUGAUGGAGGUGAGUUGAAGAUGGAGGUGAUGAUGAAUUUGAGGAGGUAAUGGUUUUUGAGGUGGCAGUGACAUUUGGGUGGUACUGAUGGUGGUGGAGUGGAGUGGGGUGCUAUGAAUAUUAUUUGUGAACAAUUAUUUGGAUAUUUAUUUUCUGUAAAAUAAGUAAUUGUGAUAUGAUUUGCAACUAAAUUUGUAAUUAUAACUCAUAAUAUCUUUUUGACUGUGAUAUUAUGCAAUUUGUUACUGGUUCAUGAUUAUGACCAUAAAUUGUGUGUUACUCAUGACCUUUCUUAAAUGAGCAAUAAAUCACAAAAUUGUUAUCAGGUGUGGCCACCUAAGUUUGAAAUAUUUUCACAAAUUUCUUAUUUAUUAAAAU